RNAcentral lists this ribosomal RNA (1265 nucleotides) under Lactiplantibacillus paraplantarum. Its description in RNAcentral is "bacterial SSU rRNA". It matches the Rfam family "Bacterial small subunit ribosomal RNA", at positions 141 to 1393 of the family's 1533-position model. The record is from RNAcentral. Lineage: Bacteria; Bacillati; Bacillota; Bacilli; Lactobacillales; Lactobacillaceae.
GGAUAACACCUGGAAACAGAUGCUAAUACCGCAUAACAACUUGGACCGCAUGGUCCGAGUUUGAAAGAUGGCUUCGGCUAUCACUUUUGGAUGGUCCCGCGGCGUAUUAGCUAGAUGGUGAGGUAACGGCUCACCAUGGCAAUGAUACGUAGCCGACCUGAGAGGGUAAUCGGCCACAUUGGGACUGAGACACGGCCCAAACUCCUACGGGAGGCAGCAGUAGGGAAUCUUCCACAAUGGACGAAAGUCUGAUGGAGCAACGCCGCGUGAGUGAAGAAGGGUUUCGGCUCGUAAAACUCUGUUGUUAAAGAAGAACAUAUCUGAGAGUAACUGUUCAGGUAUUGACGGUAUUUAACCAGAAAGCCACGGCUAACUACGUGCCAGCAGCCGCGGUAAUACGUAGGUGGCAAGCGUUGUCCGGAUUUAUUGGGCGUAAAGCGAGCGCAGGCGGUUUUUUAAGUCUGAUGUGAAAGCCUUCGGCUCAACCGAAGAAGUGCAUCGGAAACUGGGAAACUUGAGUGCAGAAGAGGACAGUGGAACUCCAUGUGUAGCGGUGAAAUGCGUAGAUAUAUGGAAGAACACCAGUGGCGAAGGCGGCUGUCUGGUCUGUAACUGACGCUGAGGCUCGAAAGUAUGGGUAGCAAACAGGAUUAGAUACCCUGGUAGUCCAUACCGUAAACGAUGAAUGCUAAGUGUUGGAGGGUUUCCGCCCUUCAGUGCUGCAGCUAACGCAUUAAGCAUUCCGCCUGGGGAGUACGGCCGCAAGGCUGAAACUCAAAGGAAUUGACGGGGGCCCGCACAAGCGGUGGAGCAUGUGGUUUAAUUCGAAGCUACGCGAAGAACCUUACCAGGUCUUGACAUACUAUGCAAAUCUAAGAGAUUAGACGUUCCCUUCGGGGACAUGGAUACAGGUGGUGCAUGGUUGUCGUCAGCUCGUGUCGUGAGAUGUUGGGUUAAGUCCCGCAACGAGCGCAACCCUUAUUAUCAGUUGCCAGCAUUAAGUUGGGCACUCUGGUGAGACUGCCGGUGACAAACCGGAGGAAGGUGGGGAUGACGUCAAAUCAUCAUGCCCCUUAUGACCUGGGCUACACACGUGCUACAAUGGAUGGUACAACGAGUUGCGAACUCGCGAGAGUAAGCUAAUCUCUUAAAGCCAUUCUCAGUUCGGAUUGUAGGCUGCAACUCGCCUACAUGAAGUCGGAAUCGCUAGUAAUCGCGGAUCAGCAUGCCGCGGUGAAUACGUUCCCGGGCCUUGUACACACCGC